AUGAAUGAUAUGGGCCUGGAUGGCGUUUCAUACAUUAUUGUUGAUGAAGCUCAUGAAAGAAGCUUGAACACCGAUCUUCUCUUAGCUUUGGUAAAGAAGAAGCUGCUUGAUAGGGUGGAUUUGCGACUCAUUAUAAUGUCUGCCACUGCUGAUGCUAAUAGACUAGCUGAAUACUUUUAUGGCUGUCAAACAUUCCAUGUUAAAGGGCGAAAUUUUCCUAUUGAAAUUAAAUAUAUCCCAGAUGUAUCAGUGGAUGCUUCCUUCAAUACUGUACCGAACUCUCUGAAUGAUGCUUUUGCUACUGCUGCUUAUGUCAAUGAUGUUGUAAGGGUGGUAAGUGUGAUUCACAAGAAUGAAGAAGAGGGUGCCAUACUUGCUUUUUUGACAUCUCAACUGGAAGUUGAGUGGGCCUGUGAAAACUUCAGCGAUGCAAGUGCUGUGGUACUUCCUAUGCAUGGAAAGCUUUCCCAUGUAGAACAGAGUCGUGUUUUCAACAGCUAUCCCGGUAAGAGAAAGGUUAUCUUCUGCACGAAUAUGGCUGAAACAUCACUGACCAUCAAAGAAGUGAAGUAUGUUGUUGAUCCUGGACUGGCCAAGGAGAGCAGAUUUGUGCCUAGCAGUGGUCUCAAUGUGCUGAAAGUAAAUUGGAUUUCCCAAAGUUCCGCUAGUCAACGUGCUGGCCGGGCUGGUCGAACAGGAGCAGGGAAGUGUUACAGGCUUUACUCUGAAUCUCACUUCAGAAUGAUGGAAGUGCAUCAAGAACCUGAAAUCCGGAAAGUUCAUCUUGGCACUGCUGUUCUGAGAAUACUUGCUUUGGGUGUUAGGGAUGCACAGAAUUUUGAGUUUGUUGAUGCCCCAAAUCCAGACGCAAUCAAUAUGGCUUUGAAGAACCUUGAACAAUUGGGUGCUGUCAAAUGUAAAUGUAAUUUGUUUGAGCUGACUGAUACUGGACGCUACCUGGUCAAAUUGGGAAUUGAGCCAAGGCUUGGUAAAAUUAUGCUUGAUUGCUUUGAUUCUGGUUUGAGAAGGGAAGGUGUAAUUCUAGCUGCUGUUAUGGCAAAUUCUAGCAGCAUAUUUUGUAGAGUGGGCACUAAUGAGGAGAAACAUAAAGCUGACCUUCAGAAGGUCCGAUUGUGUCACCAAGAUGGAGAUCUCUUCACUUUACUCGCUGUUUAUAAAAAGUGGGAGGAUGGGCAUGGAAACAGGAAUAUGUGGUGCUGGCAGAACAGCAUCAACGCCAAGACCAUGAGGAGGUGCCAGGAAACUAUAUCAGAGCUUGAAAAUUGUCUAAAGCAUGAACUCAACAUUAUUGUCCCAAGUUAUUGGUGUUGGAAUCCUGAGAUUUCCUCUAUGCAUGAUAAGCUGCUAAAGAGAAUUAUUCUAUCAUCUCUUACAGGCAAUCUUGCUAUGUUUUUAGGACAUGAAAAGUUUGGUUACCAGGUGAUUUCGACAGAUCAGGCUGUGAACCUUCAUCCCUCAUGCUCAUUGCUCAAUUAUGGCAGCAAGCCAGAGUGGGUGGUGUUUACAGAAAUCUUAUCAAUCCCAAAUCAGUAUUUGGUAUGUGUAACUGCUGUUGAUCAUGAUGCGUUGUAUGCAGUUCAUUCCAUGUCCUUCAUUCAUCAACUGGAGAAACAUAAACUGCAGAUAAAAGUGAUUAGUGGGCUUGGUAAUAAUUUGCUGCGAAGAUUUUGUGGCAAAUAUGGCCAAAAUCAACACAGGAUUAUCUCACAUCUCAAGGAAGAAUGCAGGGAUGACCGAAUAACAGUCGAAAUUAACUUCAAAAACAAUGAAGUUGUGUUAUUUGCUACAAGGCAGGACAUAGAAAAGGUCUUUUGUAUUGUUAACGGUGCUUUGGAGUGUGAAGCUAAGAUGUUGAGGAAUGAGUGCCUCGAGAGAAGAUUAUUUCCUGGGAGGCCUGGCAGUUCUCCUCUUGCAUUGUUUGGCUCAGGUGCUGAAAUCAAGCAUUUGGAACUUGGGAAGAGGUAUCUAACAGUAGAGGUUCUCCAUCAAAAUGCCCAUGGUAUCAAUGACAAGGAGCUUAUUUUUUUGGUGGGCAGUCUGACCUCUGGUGUCGCUAAUUUUCAUAAAUCAGCUGGGAACUUUCGGAUAGCCUCAGAUGAAACUAAAUGGGGGAAGUUUACAUUCCUCAAACCUGAAGAUGCUGAAGACGCUGUGUUAAAAUUGAACGGAAUAGAAUUUCAUGGUUCCUCAUUAAAAGUGGUUCCAGUAUGUUCUUCUGAUAAUCGAGGAUUACCAUUUCCUGCAGUAAGAGCUAGACUAUCAUGGCCAUGUAACCCAAGCAGGGGGCAUGCAUUUGGGACCCGUUUGCUCAGGCUCAGGGAAGCACCCAUAGUUGGCCCUUCUGUUUCUGCAUGUGAAGAAGCGCUGAUUAGAGAAAUUUCUUCGUUCAUGCCAAACAAGAUUCCUGGACAAAAUUUCCGUGUUGAAGUCUUCCCUCCAGAGGAAAACAAUUCAAUGAUGAGAGCAACUAUAACUUUUGAUGGAAGUCUUCAUCGAGAGGCUGCAAGAGCGCUGGACCAUCUUGAAGGAAGCUUUCUUCCUUGUUGUCAACCUUGGCAGAUGAUACGGUGCAAGCAUGUAUUUCAUAGUACUCUGUCCUGCCCACUACAUGUUUACAAUGUUAUCAGCCAGGAAGUUAAUUCUCUGCUUGAGAGCUUCCGAAGCCAGAAAGGUGUGGUUUACAAUUUCGAAAAGACUGAUAAUGGUAUUUUCCGGUUAAAGCUCACUGCAAAUGCCACAAAAACAAUAGCUGAUUUGAGAAGGCCUCUUGAGAUUUUGAUGAAAGGCAACACUAUAAACCACCCUGACCUGACAAUAAGUGCAGUUCAGCUACUUUUGUCCCAUGAUGGUGUAGCACAUUUGAAAUCUAUUGAACAAGAAACUGGUACUUACAUUCUGUACGACAGACAAAGUCUGAAUAUUAAAGUCUUUGGGCACCAAGAUCAGAUAGCUACAGCAGAGACAAAAUUGGUGCACGCACUUACAGAGCUCCUUGAGAAGAUGCCCCUGGAAAUUAGUCUUCGUGGCCAUAACCUCCCUCCAGACAUGAUGAAGAAAACAGUAGAGAACUUUGGAGUUGAUCUGGAAGGAUUUAAGAAAGAAAUGCCUGCAGUAAAUGUUGAGUUAAAUAAACAGCGACAUCUACUUAAAGUUUGGGGCAGUAAAGAGGAUAAGCGAAGGGUUGAAGGGAUGAUCUCUGAGCUGAUAACCUCUGUUAAACAGAAUGCCCUGGUUCAACUUCCGUCUGGGAGUGUUGGAGGAAGUAAGGAUAAGGAAAGGGUGGAUGACAGUGAGCUGGCGCAGGAUGCAUGCCCUAUUUGCUUGUGUGAGACUGAAGACCCUUUUGAGCUUGAAUCAUGUGGGCACAUAUUUUGUCGGGCUUGCUUAGUGGAUCAGUGUGAAUCUGCCAUGAAAUCUCAUGAUGGCUUCCCUGUUUGCUGCCUGAAAACUGGGUGCAAGAAGCCCUUCCUCAUAGUUGAUUUGAAGCACCUGGUGUCUAAUGAGAAGCUGGAGGACCUAUUCAGAGCUUCGUUGAGGGCAUUUGUUACAUCUAGAGCAGGAAUGUAUCGCUUCUGCUCGACACCUGAUUGCCAAUCCAUCUACCAAGUGGCAGCUCCAGAUGCAGAGACCAAGCCUUUUGUCUGCGGGGCUUGCUAUGUCGAGAUCUGCACCAAGUGCCAUGUCGAGUAUCAUCCUUUCAUGUCCUGCGAGGCUUACAAGCAAUACAAGGAAGACCCAGACGCGACGCUGCUUGAAUGGCGCAGAGGGAAGGUGAAUGUGAAGAACUGCCCUUCGUGUGGGUACACGAUCGAGAAAUCUGAGGGUUGCAACCAUGUCGAGUGCAGGUGCGGCAGCCACAUUUGCUGGGCAUGCUUGGCGAACUUCAGGAGCAGCGAGGAGUGUUAUGGCCAUCUCAGGUCUGCGCACCAAUCCUUUGUGGACAUUGUGUAG
This 3972-nucleotide ribosomal RNA is filed under the name Triticum aestivum (bread wheat). Its description in RNAcentral is "partial small subunit ribosomal RNA". The record is from RNAcentral. Lineage: Eukaryota; Viridiplantae; Streptophyta; Magnoliopsida; Poales; Poaceae.